RNAcentral lists this ribosomal RNA (1346 nucleotides) under uncultured bacterium. RNAcentral describes it as "partial 16S ribosomal RNA". It matches the Rfam family "Bacterial small subunit ribosomal RNA", at positions 28 to 1381 of the family's 1533-position model. The record is from RNAcentral.
GACGAACGCUUGCGGCGUGCUUAACACAUGCAAGUCGAACGGAAAGGCCCUGCUUUUGUGGGGUGCUCGAGUGGCGAACGGGUGAGUAACACGUGAGUAACCUGCCCUUGACUUUGGGAUAACUUCAGGAAACUGGGGCUAAUACCGGAUAGGAGCUCCUGCUGCAUGGUGGGGGUUGGAAAGUUUCGGCGGUUGGGGAUGGACUCGCGGCUUAUCAGCUUGUUGGUGGGGUAGUGGCUUACCAAGGCUUUGACGGGUAGCCGGCCUGAGAGGGUGACCGGCCACAUUGGGACUGAGAUACGGCCCAGACUCCUACGGGAGGCAGCAGUGGGGAAUAUUGCACAAUGGGCGGAAGCCUGAUGCAGCAACGCCGCGUGCGGGAUGACGGCCUUCGGGUUGUAAACCGCUUUCGCCUGUGACGAAGCGUGAGUGACGGUAAUGGGUAAAGAAGCACCGGCUAACUACGUGCCAGCAGCCGCGGUGAUACGUAGGGUGCGAGCGUUGUCCGGAUUUAUUGGGCGUAAAGGGCUCGUAGGUGGUUGAUCGCGUCGGAAGUGUAAUCUUGGGGCUUAACCCUGAGCGUGCUUUCGAUACGGGUUGACUUGAGGAAGGUAGGGGAGAAUGGAAUUCCUGGUGGAGCGGUGGAAUGCGCAGAUAUCAGGAGGAACACCAGUGGCGAAGGCGGUUCUCUGGGCCUUUCCUGACGCUGAGGAGCGAAGGCGUGGGGAGCGAACAGGCUUAGAUACCCUGGUAGUCCACGCUGUAAACGGUGGGUACUAGGUGUGGGGUCCAUUCCACGGGUUCCGUGCCGUAGCUAACGCUUUAAGUACCCCGCCUGGGGAGUACGGCCGCAAGGCUAAAACUCAAAGGAACUGACGGGGCCCCGCACAAGCGGCGGAGCAUGCGGAUUAAUUCGAUGCAACGCGUAGAACCUUACCUGGGUUUGACAUGGAUCGGGAGUGCUCAGAGAUGGGUGUGCCUCUUUUGGGGUCGGUUCACAGGUGGUGCAUGGCUGUCGUCAGCUCGUGUCGUGAGAUGUUGGGUUAAGUCCCGCAACGAGCGCAACCCUUGUUCACUGUUGCCAGCACGUUAUGGUGGGGACUCAGUGGAGACCGCCGGGGUCAACUCGGAGGAAGGUGGGGAUGACGUCAAGUCAUCAUGCCCCUUAUGUCCAGGGCUUCACGCAUGCUACAAUGGCUGGUACAGAGAGUGGCGAGCCUGUGAGGGUGAGCGAAUCUCGGAAAGCCGGUCUCAGUUCGGAUUGGGGUCUGCAACUCGACCUCAUGAAGUCGGAGUCGCUAGUAAUCGCAGAUCAGCAACGCUGCGGUGAAUACGUUCCCGGGGCU